RNAcentral lists this unclassified non-coding RNA (571 nucleotides) under Hevea brasiliensis (rubber tree). Lineage: Eukaryota; Viridiplantae; Streptophyta; Magnoliopsida; Malpighiales; Euphorbiaceae. The record is from RNAcentral.
GCGUAAUUGUCUUCAUAAAAACACGAUCAUGAGAAUUCAGGUCUGAAAUUGCAAGACAAGACAAUUAAGGGGAGAAAAAGAUGGGAUUCUUGGACAAUUUCCCUGUUCAGGUAAUACCAAUAUAUACAACAAUAAAGGUAAAUAAUAGGACCAGUUGGGUACUGAUUCUCCCACAAUUGAAGCAAUUGGUGAAGAAUCUCGAAACUUAGAAGUUUCAGAAGUUCAGAAGCCACAAAUCUGGAAGCAAAAGACGUCAAACAAGAAGCAAAAGAAAAACAAGAAAGUCUUGAUGGUGAUGAUGGAGGGGUCAAAAUAGCGCCGCCGUUUCAAGAAGAAGAAGAAGAAAAACGCAAGAAAGAUGGUUGUUUUUCUCUUCCCAUUGAAGCAGCAGAAAUGGUUUCCGGUAGUUCGGAGGAUAAGGAAGAGUUUAAGGCUCCUCCAAGUCAAGAAAAAGAAUCAGAAGCAGCUAAAGUUAGAAACGGUGAGUCAUCGAGAAACAGCGAGGGUUUUAGCGUGGAAAAUUCAUUCGCAGAUAAUGAAGACACAUCUCCAGUGGUGAGAUCGAAGAGAG